Molecule: ribosomal RNA, 1527 nt
Filed under: Triticum aestivum (bread wheat)
Lineage: Eukaryota; Viridiplantae; Streptophyta; Magnoliopsida; Poales; Poaceae
Description: partial small subunit ribosomal RNA
Source: RNAcentral
AUGGCGCCGUCCUACGAUAAGACCAUUGCCACUGCGGCCUCCCUCGCGGCAUCCCUGAUGCUCGUCCGCAGCCUCGCGAACGAGCUGCUGCCGUCCGAGCUGCGUGACGCGCUGUCUUCAGCCCUCGCCAGCCUCCGCUCGCGCAUGACGUGGCAGCACACCAUCGUCAUCAAGGAGAUCGAGGGCUGGUGCAGAAAUUGUGUCUACGAUGCCGUCAAUGCCUACCUUGCCACGCGAACCAGCGCCAGCCUCUCCAUGCAGCGCCUGCGCGUCAGCAGCGCCGGCGAAUCUGAAAAGAUGGUUGUCAGCAUGGAGGCAGGCGAGGAGAUGGCAGAUGUGUAUCAAGGAGCGGAGUUCAAGUGGUGCCUGGUCACUCGCGAGGUCAAGGGCGACUCGGACAGCGUUGGCGACGGGGCCCAUGAGGUCAGGUCCUAUGAGGUGAGCUUCCACAAGAGGCACAAGGAGAAGGCGCUCAAGGAGUACCUGCCCUUCAUCGUCGCCGCCGCCAAGGCCAUCAACCACCAGGAGCGGAGCCUCGACAUCUACAUGAACGAGCACGGCAACGAGUGGUCCUCCAUCGUCCUCCAGCACCCCUCCACCUUCGACACGCUCGCCAUGGACAUGAAGCAGAAGCGGGCCAUUGUCGAUGACCUCGACAGGUUCACCAAGAGGAAGGACUACUACAGGAGGAUCGGCAAGGCGUGGAAGCGCGGGUACCUCCUAUAUGGCCCUCCAGGUACCGGCAAGUCCAGCCUCAUCGCCGCCAUCGCCAACCACCUCAGGUUCGACAUCUACGACCUCGAGCUCACUGGGGUCGACUCCAACUCCGACCUCAGGAAGCUUCUCGUCGGGAUGACCAACCGGUCCAUUCUCGUAGUUGAGGACAUUGACUGCACCAUCGAGCUGAAGCAGCGGGAGGAAGACGAUGAGGAGCACUCCAAGUCCAACUCUGCAGCAAAGAAGAAGGCAGAAGACAAGGUAACAUUGUCUGGGCUGCUCAAUUUUGUUGAUGGCUUGUGGUCGACGAGUGGGGAGGAAAGGAUCAUCAUCUUCACAACCAACUACAAGGAGCGUCUCGACCCGGCACUCCUGCGGCCUGGCAGGAUGGACAUGCACAUACACAUGGGGUACUGCACCACGGAGGCCUUCCGGAUCCUUGCCAACAACUACCAUUCCGUCGACUACCAUGCCACCUAUCCAGAGAUCGAGGCGCUGAUCCAGGAGGUGACGGUGACGCCUGCAGAGGUCGCCGAGGUUCUGAUGAGGAACGACGACACUGAUGUUGCCCUCCAUGAUCUUGUCAAGCUCCUAGAGUUAAAGAAGAAAGAGGCCACUGAGAUCAAGACUGAAAGUAAGCAGGCGGAGGAGCAGAAAGACGGCACUGAGAAGAUCAAUACUGAAAGUAAGCAGGCGGAAGAGAAGAAAGAUGGCGAUGAGAUCAAGACUGAAAGUGUGCAGGUGGAGGAGAAAAAAGAUGACAACGAGGUGGUGCUGAAGAAUGAGUUGACAGAAAACGGAAGCGGCUAG